This is a transfer RNA of Coniochaeta ligniaria NRRL 30616, 72 nucleotides long. It matches the Rfam family "tRNA". From Rfam's summary of the family: Transfer RNA (tRNA) molecules are approximately 80 nucleotides in length. Their secondary structure includes four short double-helical elements and three loops (D, anti-codon, and T loops). The record is from Rfam. Lineage: Eukaryota; Fungi; Ascomycota; Sordariomycetes; Coniochaetales; Coniochaetaceae.
GCAACCGUGGUCUAACGGUUAGGAUUCAACCCUUCCAAGGUUGAGGCAGGGGUUCGACUCCCCUCGGUUGCA